ACAAAUCUGACAUCCCAGGAGCUUUGCAGUGCUUAUGUCAGGGACCAAUACUAAUACACUGAGAGCACGUUUGAAAUUCUGAGGCUUUCACUUGUUGGAUCAAUUCAAUCUUUGUUAUGUAGAACUGUGUGUGCUCUGCAUGAACGCUUGGUGGUGGAAAAGUGGAGGGCUGCUGAACUAUGAGAUGCAAAAGGCCAGUUUCCAGAAAUAAACUCACAAUGGAUGUUGUGAUUGUCUGAGGAAGAGGACACAGCCUUGCAUCCGGAUCUCAGCCCAGUGCAGAAUGCAUGUACCAUUUGAAGAGAACUCUCUGAGGACACCAUAAAGGCUUUCCAAACUGAGUGCUGCAGGAGAUGGGCAUUGAAUAGUCCGUUGGAGAUUACAACCGGAGCUUCCCUCAUACUCCAAGAUAGAAGUUACCACGUUACACCUGUUAACACUGAACUGGAAGAACUUUCACAACAGUUCAUGCCUUUAAUGAGGGCUAUGGUUGAGAAAUUAAGUUGCCCAACUACAGAUUAAGGUCAUCCCCAGCUGUCUUUGAGUUCAGCCACAACAAAAAGAAGCACAAGAGAAAGCUGCAGGAAAUGAACAUCAUGGGAUUCUUAAUAAUGAGGAUAUUUGUAGUGAGCAAUGUUUUUGUUUUGCUGUCAUGCCCAGGACCUUAUCAUGCUACAUACUAUGUACACCUACUACAAAACACAGCACUUGCCCAUGGCCAGACACACCACGUGAUAAUGCAUGCACAGGGAAUUAACAUCACAUACAUCGAAUUCUUCCUAUGGAAUGAAGUCAAAGGAAAACCUGUUAAGGUUCUGGAGAUAUGGUUUUUUUCUAAGCAGAACUUCAGGCUCACUGCUUGGGCACUGGCCAUGCUUGCUUGUGAUGGAUGUGGUAUUGCCUGCAGCACAUAG
This 914-nucleotide long non-coding RNA is filed under the name Cairina moschata (Muscovy duck). Its description in RNAcentral is "domestica (muscovy Duck (domestic type)) lncRNA (ENSCMMG00000017056.1)". The record is from RNAcentral. Lineage: Eukaryota; Metazoa; Chordata; Aves; Anseriformes; Anatidae.